Molecule: RNA transcript, 2552 nt
Organism: Planococcus citri (citrus mealybug)
Lineage: Eukaryota; Metazoa; Arthropoda; Insecta; Hemiptera; Pseudococcidae
Gene name: UDP-glycosyltransferase UGT4-like
Exons: 8
Source: RefSeq, a predicted model, not a curated record
UCAAGUACCAAUUUUUUAUAAUUUAAUUUUUGAUAAGAACGUGCCAUUAAAAAAACGUGCUUGUGGAACUAUCACUCGCAUGGAUACGGAAAAUACUCGUAUUAGGUUCGUUUCAUCAAUAGCAUGCAUUUCGCUAACGAUGCCUAAAAGUGUGAAAAUGUGCAGUAUGGUGAUUUGAGCGAGGAAAUCUAAUACUUCAGAACACCAGUGUAGGUAAUUAUAUAUUUGACGCGUGUAAAAUAUUGGUUCACGAGUAUACCUAUCAAACAAUACAGAAAAAUAUGCGCGAGGGAAUCCUGUUUGUAUCAUUAUUGAUCUUGACCUUCACUCGCUUAGACUAUGUCAGCAAUUCUGAUAUUUUGGUGGUAUUGCCAGUGUUUUCGAAAAGUCAUUUCACAUCAUUUCAGCCUUUAUUCGAAGAGCUGAUCGGACGAGGUCACAACUUGACGAUAAUCAGCGCUGCAAAACUAUCGAAAAAAUUCCAACAAAAUUAUACUCACAUCGACGUCAGCCAUCUCGAUGCUGGUACAGUAGGCAUCAACUUCGCCGAAAUGAGAAAACAAACUAGACUGCAGAAUGUAAUAUUUUGCAACGAACGUCUCAGCGAGCAUACUACAAAAGUAAUGCGAGAGUUGCAGAUUCGACGCCUACUUCAUUCCAAAGAUACCAAAUUUGACCUAGUGAUGAUCGAGCUAUUCCAUAUGGACGUCUACGCCGCAUUUGGAAAUCAUUUCAAAGCGCCGGUGAUCGCAUUAAGCGCUCAAGCUCUGAUAUCUUUUUAUACUUGGACCUCUCAUAAUCCAUUGUUACCGUCGUACAUGCCAAAUAUGUAUUUACCCUUUACCAAUAAGAUGUCGUUCGUUGAGAGGUUUUGGAAUGCAUUUUUUACCAUUUAUAUCGGCCUCUAUCACCAAUUUGUAUCGCUACCGAGAAGCCAAAAAAUUAUGGAAGAAUGGUUUCCAUUUGAGGAUGUCGAUAAAAUUCCCAAACUCGAAGAUUUGAUGAAAAACAUUUCGUUGAUUUUGGUUAAUUACCAUUUCGCGUUCCAAUACCCAGUGCCAUUUUUACCUAAUGUUGUACAAAUUGCUGGACUACACAUCACCGAACCGAAUCCACUUCCUCAGGAUUUGCAAAGAUUCAUGGAUAGUGCCGCAGAAGGAGUGAUAUAUGUGAGUUUAGGUUCACUUAUUCGGCCCAAUGAUGUGGAUUCCAUUGGUAAAACAAUUAUCCGCGUAUUACAGCAUCUACCUCAAAAAGUCAUUUUCAAAUGGGACCCCGAAAUAUUGCCAUCGAAACCAGAUAAUUUUUUGAUUCGAACCUGGACACCGCAAACCAGUAUUCUAAAGCAUCCGAAUUGCCGAUUAUUCAUCACCCACGGAGGACUACACAGCUUACUAGAAAGCGUGAAUUUUUCGGUGCCCAUCAUCGGCGUUCCCUUUUUUACCGAUCAACAACAUAACAUAGCUUUGGUCGAACAUCUCGGUAUUGGAAAAAAACUAAAUGUCAAUUUUAACGACAAUGAACUUUUCCAAGCUGUGCAAGAAGUGAUCACAAAUCCCAUCUAUUAUAAGAAAAUGAGACUCCAAUCGAGUAAAUUCGACGAUCGUAUGACUUCACCUUUGAAUACCGCAAUUUUUUGGGUAGAAUACGUGUUACGUCAUAGAGAAGAUUUACGUCAUUUGAGACCUGCCAGUGCAGAUUUGUUAUGGUAUCAAUAUUUCUUACUAGAUGUUUUCUUGGUGAUCGUUUUAGCUUUUUUGUCGAUGCUGGCCUUGUUUUAUUAUAUUGUGAGAAGAAUUAUUUCUCGUUUCAGUAGACGCAGUAUUAUUUCGGAUUUUAAAUAUAAAAUUGGUUAAAAUUGAAAAAUUAUCAUUUUUUUUUGUAAUUCGUAUUAGGUAGGUAACAAUUAUAUACUUAAUUAUAUGAUGGAACCGAUUAGAAAUCAUAAAUUCGUCAUCAAAAUUAGAAUUCACCCAUUUCUGAAGAGGGCACUCAAAAUAUUUUAAAUUUUUACACCAGAUCCGAGUGUGCUGAUUAUCUCAAAUUCUCUCGAGUUUUUUAAUUUGAAGUUUCUAUCAACCUGUCAAAUUUAUGACAUCUUGAAGUGGUCUUUGGCUAUAAUGUUGGCGUCUAUGGAAGUAUUUUCAGAUAAACCCAUACGUCCACGACUAUCAUUAUAAAGACCGAUGCAUCAUUUCUCAUCGAACUGUUAACCUAUCUAAAUUUGUCAGUAUCAUGCCAAAAGCUGUUUACUGAUUUGAACGAAACGUCAUUUUUCAAGUGCGUACCCAUCUAUUGUAGCUACGUUCAAUUACAUAUUGAGAUUAGUUAAUCUAUAGUCGAUUGAUAUUCGAGUGAAAACAAUCAUGUGUGGUGUGGUAUGAUAUCAAGCAUAGAUAGUAAUGAACACUACACCGAAUACCGAUGCAAAUGAUCAAACGAGAUUACGAAAUUCAUGACAAACUAACCAAUUAUCGGACGUAGAUGUGUUUAUUUUUGAAUCGACGAGACCGAAUUUUCUGCCGAGAAUAAACCCAUAAUCAGUUAAAAAU